CUUGCAAACUGGAGAUGGCGACCGGCGCACGGGUGAGUAACACGUAUCCAACCUGCCGAUAACUCGGGGAUAGCCUUUCGAAAGAAAGAUUAAUACCCGAUGGCAUAAUAGAACCGCAUGGUUUGAUUAUUAAAGAAUUUCGGUUAUCGAUGGGGGAUGCGUUCCAUUAGGCAGUUGGUGGGGUAACGGCCCACCAAACCUUCGAUGGAUAGGGGUUCUGAGAGGAAGGUCCCCCACAUUGGAACUGAGACACGGUCAAAACUCCUACGGGAGGCAGCAUG
Molecule: ribosomal RNA, 281 nt
Filed under: uncultured bacterium
Lineage: Bacteria
Description: partial 16S ribosomal RNA
Rfam family: Bacterial small subunit ribosomal RNA
Source: RNAcentral